AGCAGUAUUGARCUGAAGAGUUUGAUCAUGGCUCAGAUUGAACGCUGGCGGCAGGCCUAACACAUGCAAGUCGAGCGGAUGAAGGGAGCUUGCUCCUGGAUUCAGCGGCGGACGGGUGAGUAAUGCCUAGGAAUCUGCCUGGUAGUGGGGGAUAACGUCCGGAAACGGGCGCUAAUACCGCAUACGUCCUGAGGGAGAAAGUGGGG
This 206-nucleotide ribosomal RNA is filed under the name Pseudomonas aeruginosa. RNAcentral describes it as "partial 16S ribosomal RNA". It matches the Rfam family "Bacterial small subunit ribosomal RNA", at positions 1 to 210 of the family's 1533-position model. The record is from RNAcentral. Lineage: Bacteria; Pseudomonadati; Pseudomonadota; Gammaproteobacteria; Pseudomonadales; Pseudomonadaceae.